GACGAACGCUGGCGGCGUGCUUAACACAUGCAAGUCGAACGGAAAGGCCCCCUUGUGGGGUACUCGAGUGGCGAACGGGUGAGUAACACGUGAGUAACCUACCCUUGACUUUGGGAUAACUUCAGGAAACUGGGGCUAAUACCGGAUAGGAGCUCCUGCUGCAUGGUGGGGGUUGGAAAGUUUCGGCGGUUGGGGAUGGACUCGCGGCUUAUCAGCUUGUUGGUGGGGUAGUGGCUCACAAAGGCUUUGACGGGUAGCCGGCCUGAGAGGGUGACCGGCCACAUUGGGACUGGGAUACGGCCCAGACUCCUACGGGAGGCAGCAGUGGGGAAUAUUGCACAAUGGGCGGAAGCCUGAUGCAGCAACGCCGCGUGCGGGAUGACGGCCUUCGGGUUGUAAACCGCUUUCGCCUGUGACGAAGCGUGAGUGACGGUAAUGGGUAAAGAAGCACCGGCUAACUACGG
This 464-nucleotide ribosomal RNA is filed under the name uncultured bacterium. RNAcentral describes it as "partial 16S ribosomal RNA". It matches the Rfam family "Bacterial small subunit ribosomal RNA", at positions 28 to 506 of the family's 1533-position model. The record is from RNAcentral.